This 600-nucleotide ribosomal RNA is filed under the name uncultured Alphaproteobacteria bacterium. Its description in RNAcentral is "bacterial SSU rRNA". It matches the Rfam family "Bacterial small subunit ribosomal RNA", at positions 54 to 691 of the family's 1533-position model. The record is from RNAcentral. Lineage: Bacteria; Pseudomonadati; Pseudomonadota; Alphaproteobacteria.
CAUGCAAGUCGAGCGAGAAGCUAACUUCGGUUAGUGGAAAGCGGCGCACGGGUGAGUAACGCGUGGGAAUUUACCUUUUGGUGGGGGACAACAGUUGGAAACGACUGCUAAUACCGCAUAUACCCUACGGGGGAAAGAUUUAUCGCCAAAAGAUGGGCCCGCGUUAGAUUAGGUAGUUGGUAGGGUCAAAGCCUACCAAGCCUACGAUCUAUAGCUGGUUUGAGAGAACGAUCAGCCACAUUGGAACUGAGACACGGUCCAGACUCCUACGGGAGGCAGCAGUGGGGAAUCUUGCACAAUGGGCGAAAGCCUGAUGCAGCCAUGCCGCGUGAGUGAGAAGGCCUUCGGGUUGUAAAACUCUUUUAGAUGUGAAGAUGAUGACGGUAACAUCAGAAAAAGCCCCGGCUAACUUCGUGCCAGCAGCCGCGGUAAUACGAAGGGGGCUAGCGUUGUUCGGAAUUACUGGGCGUAAAGAGCGUGUAGGCGGCUAGAUAAGUUAGGGGUGAAAUCCCGGAGCUCAACUUCGGAAUUGCCUUUGAUACUGUCUAGCUUGAGAUUGCGAGGGGAUAGCGGAAUACCCAGUGUAGAGGUGAAAUUCGU